GCCUGAACUGAAACAUCUAAGUAGGGCGAGGAAGAGAAAUCAACCGAGAUUCCGCUAGUAGUGGCGAGCGAACGCGGAAGAGGCCAAACCAAGAGUAGUAAUACUUUUGGGGUUUUGGACAGCGUACGGUAUUAACUGCGGUUAGUAGAAUGAAAUGGGAAGUUCAACCACAGAGCGUGAUAGUCGCGUACACGAAAACUAAAGUUAGCCAGCUGGAUCCAGAGUACCGCCGGACACGUGAAACCCGGUGGGAAGACGGGGGGACCACCCUCCAAGCCUAAAUACUCUCCAAUGACCGAUAGUGUAUAGUACUGUGAAGGAAAGGUGAAAAGAACCCCUGGCGGGGAGUGAAAUAGAACCUGAAACCUUGUGCCUACAAGCACAUAGAGCGCGUCAAUGCGUGAUAUGGUACCUUUUGUAGAAUGGUCCGGCGAGUGAAUGUCACUGGCAAGGUUAAGCUCUUCAGGAGUGCAGCCGAAGCGAAAGCGAGUCUGAAAUGGGCGUUUUAGUCAGUGGUAUUCGACCCGAAACCGGGUGACCUAGCCAUGAGCAGGCUGAAGUGGAGGUAAAACUCCAUGGAGGGCCGAACCCACUCCCGUUGAAAUGGUAGGGGAUGACUUGUGGCUAGCGGAGAAAUUCCAAUCGAACCCGGAGAUAGCUGGUUCUCUCCGAAAUAGCUUUAGGGCUAGCCUCAAUUAACAUUACCGCAGGUAAAGCACUGAAUGAGCUAGGGGGCGAAAGCUUACUGAACUCUAUCAAACUCAGAAUGGCGGAUAAUGAAUGAUUGGGAGUCACACUACGUGAGAUAAGUUUCGUGGUGGAAAGGGAAACAGCCCAGACCCACAGCUAAGGUCCCAAAGUACAGUUAAGUGGAAAAGGAUGUGAAAUUGCGCAGACAACCAGGAUGUUGGCUCAGAAGCAGCCACUCAUUCAAAGAGUGCGUAAUAGCUCACUGGUCGAGUGAUUUUGCGCCGAAAAUUUAACGGGGCUAAACUGUACACCGAAGCUUGGGAGUAUACAUUUGUAUGUUGGUAGGAGAGCGUUGUGUAAGGGGUGAAGUCGUAGCGAAAGCGGCGGUGGACUUUACACAAGUGAGAAUGCCGGAAUGAGUAGCGAGAAUUAUGUGAGAAUCAUAAUGGCCGAAAGACUAAGGUUUUAGAAGGAAGGUUCGUCCGCUUCUAGUUAGCCGGGAGCUAAGGCGAGGCCGAGAGGCGUAGUCGAUGCACAUACGGUUGAGAUUCCGUAGCUACCUUGCAUUUAAGCGAAGGGACACAUUUGAAGGGCAUGACCCGGGCGUUGGUUGACCCGGGCGUAAGGGACCGAAAAUAAGUAGGGAAGCAUGCUUGGAUGGUGGCGAGAAAAGCUUCGUGUAUAUAAGCAGGGUACCCGUACUGCAAACCGACACAGGUAGUCAGGAAGAGGAUUCUAAGGCCAUCGGGAGAAGCGUUGUUAAGGAACUCGGCAAAUUGACCCCGUAACUUCGGAAUAAGGGGUGCUCACGCGAGUGAGCCGCAGUGAAUAGGUCCAGGCAACUGUUUAUCAAAAACACAGCUCUCUGCUAAAUCGUAAGAUGACGUAUAGGGGGUGACACCUGCCCGGUGCUGGAAGGUUAAGAGGAGGGGUGCAAGCUCCGAAUUGAAGCCCCAGUAAACGGCGGCCGUAACUAUAACGGUCCUAAGGUAGCGAAAUUCCUUGUCGGGUAAGUUCCGACCCGCACGAAUGGUGUAAUGAUCUGGACACUGUCUCAACAACGCACCCGGCGAAAUUGUAGUACCGGUGAAGAUGCCGGUUACCCGCGGCAAGACGGAAAGACCCCAUGGAGCUUCACUGUAGCCUGAUAUUGGGUCUCGGUAUUUUAUGUACAGGAUAGGCGGGAGACUUGGAAACCAGCACGCCAGUGUUGGCGGAGUCACCCUUGGGAUACCGCUCUUAAAGUAUUGAGAUUCUAACCUGCAGCCAUGAAUCUGGCUGGGGGACAUUGUCAGGUGGGCAGUUUGACUGGGGCGGUCGCCUCCAAAAGAGUAACGGAGGCGUUCAAAGGUUCACUCAGCAUGGACGGAAACCAUGCCUUAGAGUGCAAACGCAUAAGUGAGCCUAACUGCGAGACUGACGGGUCGAGCAGUAACGAAAGUUGGAGUUAGUGAUCCGGCGGUAUGUGAGUGGAAAUGCCGUCGCUCAACGGAUAAAAGCUACCCUGGGGAUAACAGGCUGAUCU
Molecule: ribosomal RNA, 2215 nt
Filed under: human gut metagenome
Description: bacterial LSU rRNA
Rfam family: Bacterial large subunit ribosomal RNA
Source: RNAcentral